AGUGAACGUUGGCGGCGUGGAUUAGGCAUGCAAGUCGAGCGAGAACCGUAGCAAUACGGGGACAGCGGCGAAAGGGACAGUAAUGUGUAGGUACCUACCUCCGGGUUCGGGAUAGCUGCGGGAAACUGCAGGUAAUACCGAAUAACGUCUCCGGACCAAAGGUGUGAUUCAACCUGGAGAGGGGCGUGCAUCCUAUUAGCUUGUUGGCGGGGUAACGGCCCACCAAGGCGACGAUGGAUAGCGGGUGUGAGAGAACGACCCGCGCCAUUGGGACUGAGACACUGCCCAGACACCUACGGGUGGCUGCAGUCGUGAAUCUUCGGCAAUGGGCGCAAGCCUGACCGAGCGACGCCGCGUGCGGGAUGAAGGCCUUCGGGUUGUAAACCGCUGUCGUAGAGGAGGAAACGCAGGGGGGUUCUCCCCUCUGUUUGACCUAUUCUAGGAGGAAGUACGGGCUAAGUUCGUGCCAGCCGCCGCAGUAA
This 482-nucleotide ribosomal RNA is filed under the name uncultured bacterium. RNAcentral's name for it is "partial 16S ribosomal RNA". It matches the Rfam family "Bacterial small subunit ribosomal RNA", at positions 29 to 523 of the family's 1533-position model. The record is from RNAcentral.